CGCGUGAGGAUCUGCCUAUAGGACCGGGACAACAUUAGGAAACUGAUGCUAAAACCGGAUGUGCCGAGAGGUGAAAUAUUUAUAGCCUGUAGAUGAGCUCGCGUCUGAUUAGCUAGUUGGUGGGGUAAAGGCUUACCAAGGCGACGAUCAGUAGCUGGUCUGAGAGGACGAUCAGCCACACUGGGACUGAGACACGGCCCAGACUCCUACGGGAGGCAGCAGUGGGGAAUUUUCCGCAAUGGGCGAAAGCCUGACGGAGCAACGCCGCGUGAGGGAGGAAGGCCUGUGGGUUGUAAACCU
Molecule: ribosomal RNA, 300 nt
Filed under: uncultured Pseudanabaenaceae cyanobacterium
Lineage: Bacteria; Bacillati; Cyanobacteriota; Cyanophyceae; Pseudanabaenales; Pseudanabaenaceae
Description: bacterial SSU rRNA
Rfam family: Bacterial small subunit ribosomal RNA
Source: RNAcentral